GGUAGGUCAGUGGGUAAGACGGUGGACUAUUGGUCGAUAGGUCGUGAGUUCAAAUCUCAGCACUACCA
Pangasius djambal is the source of this 68-nucleotide non-coding RNA. Lineage: Eukaryota; Metazoa; Chordata; Actinopteri; Siluriformes; Pangasiidae. The record is from the annotation of a GenBank genome assembly.